Molecule: ribosomal RNA, 253 nt
Filed under: uncultured bacterium
Lineage: Bacteria
Description: partial 16S ribosomal RNA
Rfam family: Bacterial small subunit ribosomal RNA
Source: RNAcentral
UACGGGGGGGGCAAGCGUUGUUCGGAAUUACUGGGCGUAAAGGGCUCGUAGGCGGCCAACUAAGUCGGACGUGAAAUCCCUCGGCUUAACCGGGGAACUGCGUCCGAUACUGGAUGGCUUGAGUUUGGGAGAGGGAUGCGGAAUUCCAGGUGUAGCGGUGAAAUGCGCAGAUAUCGGGAAGAACACCCGUGGCGAAGGCGGUUCUCUGGGACGGUACUGACGCUGAGACGCGAAAGCGUGGGGAGCGAACAGG